GUCCUUUAGGAACGCAGUGAAUUUCCCCAGCAGUAAUCUCCUUUUGUCUGUAUUACUUUCCUUCUUAUGGACAUAGAUCUCACCUGCCUCUCCCUUUCUGAUUUUUUCUAGUUCCAGUCAAUGACGAAGCAGAGAAACGUGCAGAAAUCCACAACUGCAAGUCCUUUAAGACAAUGACUGGCGACUGCACAUGAGCUAUGAUGUAACUGCACUGUAAUUCCACUAAGAAAAAAGCCUUUUUAUCUCUGGCAAAGGGAUCAGCUUCCCCAAUGAAAUUCCCAUCUGAUCGGUUGUUUUGAAGAGUUUGAAGGCACGUGGGAGAAAGCACGCAACAUUACUGUGAAUAUGGUUUGGCCUUAAUUAGCUGAGGAAAGAUAACUUGGAACAUUGAGAUCUAGCAGGGGCUUCUGGUGUUGACAGCAAUUAACAUGAAAAACAAAUCAGCAGAAUCUGGGACUAUUUAAACCCAUGUCUCGUUCCGUUAAUGUAUUAAAAUCUCUUUAAUGUGA
Molecule: long non-coding RNA, 509 nt
Organism: Xenopus laevis (African clawed frog)
Lineage: Eukaryota; Metazoa; Chordata; Amphibia; Anura; Pipidae
Exons: 2
Source: RefSeq, a predicted model, not a curated record